Molecule: ribosomal RNA, 417 nt
Filed under: bacterium
Lineage: Bacteria
Description: bacterial SSU rRNA
Rfam family: Bacterial small subunit ribosomal RNA
Source: RNAcentral
AGCUUGCUCUCUGAUUCAGCGGCGGACGGGUGAGUAAUGCCUAGGAAUCUGCCUGAUAGUGGGGGACAACGUUUCGAAAGGAACGCUAAUACCGCAUACGUCCUACGGGAGAAAGCAGGGGACCUUCGGGCCUUGCGCUAUCAGAUGAGCCUAGGUCGGAUUAGCUAGUUGGUGAGGUAACGGCUCACCAAGGCGACGAUCCGUAACUGGUCUGAGAGGAUGAUCAGUCACACUGGAACUGAGACACGGUCCAGACUCCUACGGGAGGCAGCAGUGGGGAAUAUUGGACAAUGGGCGAAAGCCUGAUCCAGCCAUGCCGCGUGUGUGAAGAAGGUCUUCGGAUUGUAAAGCACUUUAAGUUGGGAGGAAGGGCAUUAACCUAAUACGUUAGUGUUUUGACGUUACCGACAGAAUAAG